AAAAAUUAUAAAAGAUAUGGUGCCCUUGAUGGGUUAAAAGGGAAAGUGGUUAAAUUCCACUGCAGCCCCCGCUACUGUAUAUGGGAACGAAAUUCGAUUAAGCCAUUGGGAAACUGAGAAGGCCGAAGAUUAGGAUGAACCAUGAGCCAGGAAACCUGCCUUAUCUUAUUAUUACUA
RNAcentral lists this non-coding RNA (177 nucleotides) under Acetoanaerobium sticklandii. RNAcentral also lists the same sequence under 1 other name. The record is from RNAcentral. Lineage: Bacteria; Bacillati; Bacillota; Clostridia; Peptostreptococcales; Filifactoraceae.